Long non-coding RNA from Triticum aestivum (bread wheat), 1354 nucleotides. RefSeq lists it as uncharacterized. The record is from RefSeq and is a predicted model, not a curated record. Lineage: Eukaryota; Viridiplantae; Streptophyta; Magnoliopsida; Poales; Poaceae. The transcript is spliced from 3 exons.
GUGAAAUGGGAGUCGAACGGCUAGACAUGCCAUACAAUGUUGCCUUCUUUUCCGCAAUACCCUGAUUACCCAAUUCCUGAUGUACAUUCCGAUUCGUGUCUCUACUGCAGAACUUUAGCUCAUAGAGCAGAAAACUCGUAUCAUCUCUCUAUGUAUGGUGUCGAGCAAUGGAACUGCAGUGAUCUGGCAGUGUGACUGUUGACCUCCUUGACACCAUUCACGUUCGUCGCUCUGAACCCACUCAGCAGACAAGUUGGCAUAGACAUGUUUACAUCAGCAAUCUUUUCUUUGAGAUAUCUGGUGGCCUUUCGUAACCAUCGAAUUCAAGUCAUCUUUGAGUACAUGACAUCUUCUGAAGUUCGUGCCAUCAUGCUUUAGUUUUCCCACAUGAGCUGAGAUUAUUCAAAUAAAAAGACGGUCUCAGGCACAAGAGCAUGAUGUGCUUCCGCCAGUUGCUUUCACACCAAGGCCACGCGGUUGAUCAUCUAAGCGCACCUAUGAAGUUGACCAACAAGGAAGUUGGCCAGAGCUACUAAUUAGUAUGCCUAAUUGCUAUUGCUUUGUAGUUUGACCGCCUCUACCGUCAGUAUGCCUGGCUUUUGCUUUCUUAUUAUGUUCCUGCUAUUAGUACUUCCUCUCUCGUGUUCGUGCUCUUAGUAUUGAACUUAAUGUUGUAGUUAUUAGCUUUUGUGGUCUAAUGAACUAACUGAGUGUUUAUAAUUUCAUGACGAUGUUGAACUCGAUAACUAAAUGAUCAUUAUCUGCUUGACCAUAUCGUUGGGACCGGCACCCUUGCGCCAAGCCGUGGUCCCGAUCUAGUACCCAAGACUAGACAGGUGUUCGCCGAUAUAUCUACAUAUCGUCUGAUAUAUCACCCGAUAUCUGACAUCUGAUAUGUCAAAACCGAUACAAACCUGAUAUCCGAUAUUUUGAAGCUUGGUGUGGUCUCCUACUGGAUUGAUACUUUGGUUCUUAAAAAUUGAAGGAAAUACUUACACUGCUUUCCUGCAUCACCCUUUCGUCUUUAAGGGAAAAACAACGCAGUGCUCAAGAGGUAUCAAGAAGGAUUCCUGGCAUCGUCGCCGGGGAGAUAUACGCCAAGUCAAGACAUACCAAGUACCCAUCACAACUCUUAUCCUUUGCAUUACAUUAUUUGUCAUUUGCCUCUCGUUCUCCUCUCCUCUACUUCAUCCUUGCCAUUUUAUUCGCCCUCUCUUUCCCGUACGCCUCUUUCUCGCUUACCUCUUGUUGCUUGUUACCCUUAUGGAUUUACCAAAAGGAGUUGAUCCUCACCUUACAAGGUUGGAAGAAAUCGAAAACAACAUUAGAAGUUUUAUGUCCUUGCAGUUUGAGC